This 229-nucleotide ribosomal RNA is filed under the name uncultured bacterium. Its description in RNAcentral is "partial 16S ribosomal RNA". It matches the Rfam family "Bacterial small subunit ribosomal RNA", at positions 568 to 796 of the family's 1533-position model. The record is from RNAcentral.
GGUGUAGGCGGCGAGAUAAGUCAGAAGUGAAAGCCCCGGGCUUAACCUGGGAAGUGCUUUUGAUACUGUUUCGCUUGAGUGUGGGAGAGGAUAGUAGAAUUCCAGGUGUAGUGGUGAAAUACGUAGAUAUCUGGAGGAACACCGGUGGGGAAGCCGGCUAUCUGGCCCAACACUGACGCUCAGACCCGAAAGCGUGGGGAGCAAACAGGAUUAGAUACCCUGGUAGUCC